RNAcentral lists this ribosomal RNA (301 nucleotides) under uncultured bacterium. Its description in RNAcentral is "partial 16S ribosomal RNA". It matches the Rfam family "Bacterial small subunit ribosomal RNA", at positions 509 to 810 of the family's 1533-position model. The record is from RNAcentral.
CAGUCGCCGCGGUAAUACGUAGGUGGCAAGCGUUGUCCGGAAUUAUUGGGCGUAAAGGGCUCGCAGGCGGUUUCUUAAGUCUGAUGUGAAAGCCCCCGGCUCAACCGGGGGGGGUCAUUGGAAACUGGAAACUUGAGUGCAGAAGAGGAGAGUGGAAUUCCACGUGUAGCGGUGAGAUGCGUAGAGAUGUGGAGGAACACCAGUGGCGAAGGCGACUCUCUGGUCUGUAACUGACGCUGAGGAGCGAAAGCGUGGGGAGCGAACAGGAUUAGAUACCCCGGUAGUCCCUGUCUCUUAUCCC